Phoenix dactylifera (date palm) is the source of this 2946-nucleotide non-coding RNA. The record is from RefSeq and is a predicted model, not a curated record. Lineage: Eukaryota; Viridiplantae; Streptophyta; Magnoliopsida; Arecales; Arecaceae.
GAUCACCGUCAACACCCGACACCUGGCACUCUCUCUUCUCCCCUCCUCCCUCUCUCUUUUUUUCUCUUGCUCCAAUUUCUGCUCUCCAGCUCGUUUGCCACGCCUAGCUUCCCACCAGAAGGGGAGAGAAUAGAGAGAAAUAGCACGCAACCCGGCCUCUCUUUCAUCGUGGUACGCCUUCCAUUUUUAGUUCCCCACUCUCCCUGGAGUGGGGGUUGCUUUCUUUCUUUCUCUCUGUUGUUGUUUCUAUUGCAAAAGAUUAGCACGAAAGAUCUCCGUUUAUUUUGCUCUCCCCUAUUUGAAAGUGAUAGGAUGUUAGGCAGUUUGUAGCUCUUUUAUUUCCAUUUCCUUCUUCUUCUUCUUCUUCUUCUUCUCUCUCUCUUUCUCUGUGCUGUGAAGAGCUGAUGGUAUAAGAGUGGGAGAGAGAGAGAAGGGAGGGGGGGCGAAGACUAUAAUCUAGAAGAUGAUUUUAGAUUUGUAGAGGCUGAGAGGGGUUACUUCAGAUCCACGGAAGCCAUGUGGUGAAAAGGCCCCCUCCCAUCUUUAAGUUGGUUUUCUUGUGAUCCUUCAACCCCUUCUUGUCGAGUGUUAGAUCAAUCAGCCUCCCCAUCAUUCAAUAGUUCGAGAUUUGUGCAUAAAAAGCGGCAGUGCUCAGAUCUUGGGCUAAGAGGCCAUUUCAUCGUGAUGAUGAUGAGGAGGAAGCUGUUAUUUAGCAAUGAGAGUUGACGUGAUUCUUGGGGUGGGCUGCUGCUGCUGCCGGUUUUCCAGUUCUUGUUGUUGUUUCGACCACGAGGACGCCUCAGGAGGUGGAGGCGGCGAUGGAGGAGAUGUCUCCGGUGAUUGCUUUGCCGAUUAACGUAGGCAAUUCGCUCCAGGAUAAAAAUCCAAUGGAGAUUAAUCGCCUCAAGUUGAUGACCGAUGCCUCGAGCAUGCUGUCUGAUCCGAUGGAAUCAGAAGCUGAGGCUGUGACCACGAAUGGAGGAGGGGGUGGCGACGAUCUGGAGGUACGGACGCUGCCUGGAAGCGACGAGGAAGACUCCGUGUCUGUUGGGCCCGAGCAGUCUCCUGAGAGCUCCAGUUCAGUAAUCAUGGAUGGCGGUGGCAUUGCGAGCGCUUUGGAAGAAUUCUCAGCUCUGGAUGCGGCUGAUACGACUGCAAUAGUGGUCUCUUGGGACAUGGUGAAGAGCAUUGCUCCGGGUGUUGAGAUCAUAGCCGGGGAUUCGGGUACGAGUUUGGUGACUGAGGGCGUCGCUGAUUCUGAUCUGAAACUAGCAGCGGCCCUUGUUGACCCGGCAGCUCAGGGUAGUCGUGCUUUCCUGGCGAAUUACGUGCCCCUUUGGGGUUGCACGUCUAUUUGCGGGAGAAGGCCGGAGAUGGAGGACGCCACAGUGGCUUUGCCAUGGUUUUGGGAAAUUCCAGCCCGGAUGCUAACUGCUGAUUGCUUGGUGGAAAGCACGAGUCCAAGUUUGAGUCACUUGCCUGCCCAUUUCUUUGGAGUCUAUGAUGGCCAUGGUGGUGCUCAGGUCGCUAACUACUGCCGGGAGCGCAUCCAUUUAGCAUUGAUUGAAGAGAUUAAAAAUCUAAACAGAAGUUUUGGAGAUAGCAGCGGGGACGAUUGGAAGAAGCAAUGGGAAAUGGCUUUCACUAAUUGCUUUCUAAAGGUUGAUGAUGAGGUUGGAGGGAAGGGUAGAGAAGUUGUUGGAAGCACGCUAGAUGCCUCUGAGGAGGGGUCAAGCUCUAGCCUUUCCUCUUUCGUCCCAUCAGAACCCAUUGCCCCGGAGACUGUUGGAUCUACCGCGGUGGUAGCUGUUAUUUGUUCGUCUCACAUUAUCAUUGCAAACUGCGGGGAUUCAAGGGUGGUACUUUGUCGUGGCAAAGAACCAGUGGCUCUAUCUGUGGAUCAUAAGCCCAACAGAGAUGAUGAAUAUGCCAGGAUUGAAGCAGCUGGAGGAAAGGUUAUCCAAUGGAAUGGAUACCGUGUGCUUGGUGUUCUUGCUAUGUCAAGGUCAAUUGAUGAAGAAUAUCUGUUCCUUUACAGAUCAAUUCAUCUCACACUUCACAGGUGGAUGUAAACUAUGCUUCUGUAUGGGAUCUAGUUUGUUUGUACAAGGAUGAUGAUCAUAUUCAUCCCAUGAACUGCUUUUGGAGGCCCUGCUGAUACCAUUUAAUUUGUGAAGCAAAUACUUCAGCAAUUUUUUUAUGCUCUACCUCACGAGGUUAUAAAUCUGGAUAUAUUCCAUUAUAACAGACUCGGAUCAAAUGGGACAGAUACUUAAAACCAUGGAUCAUUCCAGAUCCAGAAGUCACAAUUGUACCGCGAGUGAGAGAAGAUGAAUGCCUCAUAUUAGCCAGUGAUGGCUUAUGGGAUGUCAUGUCAAACGAAGAGGUUUGUGAUGCUGCUCGCAGACGGAUUCUUCUCUGGCACAAAAAGAAUGGUGUUACGGCCUCUACCGCGAGAAGAGGCGAAGGAGCUGAUCCUGCAGCUCAAGCAGCUGCAGAAUACCUUGAAAAACUUGCUCUCCAAAAAGGAAGCAAGGAUAACAUCACCAUUAUUGUUGUUGACCUGAAAGCCCAAAGGAAGUUCAAGAGUAAGACUUAAGUUGGUUAAUCAGCUGUCUUAGCUGAGUUAAAAGAACCCUAAGAUAUACCUUCACUUUAGUUUCUUAAUCCCGUUGAUACGUAAGCCCAUAUAUGUAUUUUUUUAAUUUGGGCUGCAAGGGCUGUAUGAGAAAUUAUAGGCUGUGUAUGUAUUAUAGGAUGUUUUAAAAUAGGUUUAUUUUCUAUUUUCAGUCCUAUAAUGAAGUAAUUUUCUCUCACCUGGGUGAUGUACUAGCUAUGUAAAUUUAAGUUGUUGGGGACCCUUCUGCUUGGCUGUAUUUGUGUUUGCCUCCAAGCUCCAUGGCUCUGUGAGGGAUAUUAAGAUUGAGUCUUUCUCUUCCCCCACCA